AAGCACGGCUCCGUGAUCCCUAGCUCGAAUCGAGGCUCGCGCGAAUGAGCGCGUUCCUCGAGAACCAAAUUAGGUACGAAUUGAUAACCUCAUUUAUUCAAUAACGAUCACAAACUCGUAAUAAUCGUUCUGUCCAAUCCCAAUCUGACCAAACGGAUUUCAUUAUAAUACCAGCUUUUUCUACCCGAGGCUGUUUCUUCAUUUACAAACAUUUCCUAGAAGACGCCUUAUCAAUUUUGUGCGAGUGUGGGAAAGAUUAUCGAAAAGUAGAUGCACAUUUUCCUCAGACCUGUCAACAAUGUUCUCAGAAACAGAAAAGUUACACGGCACUUUUCAACGAAAGAAGAACAAUAUGUAGGUUUUUCUUGUAUGUUGACCGUUUUCGAUGACGACUACAACCAAUGAGCGUAUGGUUAUAAUGCAGACGUGGAAAAUCGAAACUUGGAAAUUUUCAUCUUUCUGCAACCAUUUGAUGAAUUUCAACUAUUCUCAAUCGAUCAUAAUUUUCUGUUUUCUUAUUCUCAAUCGAUCAGUUUUUCUGUUAAUUAUUUACAAUGUUUACAUCUUUGACCAUUAAUUUUCUUUGUUUGUCCAUUAGGUUCGAGGCUGAAGUCGAAGAAAUUGUAUCUUCGAAUGUUUGCUUCUGGUCUUCCGGAACAUAAAUAAAGACACUUGGCUCUAUACAUAAUUUAUUGAGAGAGAAAAUGUAAUGCUUUUAUUAUUCCUUCCAUCACUCGAGUCGUUUACUCUCGAAUAAUAUGUCAGGACUCUUGAAUAUUGAAAAUUGCAUUCGAUAAGAAAAAUAGAUUGCAACAUGAAGAAUGAUACAAAACAAAAUGCAGGAAAUCCAUUUGAUUUGAAAAUGAUUGCAGUAAGAAACGUGGUAUAAAAUACCAGCCAUGGGCUUUAUCCGUGGAAAAUUAUUGGUGAAAACUUUUCAUACCCCAUAGAACAGUCGAAGGGAAUGAAAGCAAAAGAGUUUCUAAUUUCAAAAUGUAAGGAGUCAAAAGACAAAUAAGCUAGCAAAGGUGAUGGAAAUUUUUAAAAACCCAUCCAAAAACUGAGCCGCUCGAAGGGUAUUUCCAUUUUCUACUUAUUUUAAAAUAAGUAUGUUGUCCCACAAGUCGCUUAAGAUUUUGGGGAAGGAAGUGGGACGGUGUGACGAGGAUUGAAAUUGUUAUUUUGGACAAUCUGUUAUAUACAAAUAAUGGCAUAUUAUCUUGUUAUUAAUUUAUGUUAUCAGGUAUUGGAAAUAAUUUGGAACAGUGAGACGGAACGUUACCAGCAAGGUCAUGCAAAUGAGGACAAUUCAUCAGUCGCAUCUGCAUGGAAACAUAAUCUAACAUUUUUAUGCUGGAAUUCAAAUGUCGAGAAACUUUUAAUUAUUAAUAAAACACAACAUAACCUAAAAGUUUAGUCUCUUAUUCAAUAAUGUGAUGGAAAACGCAGUGUCAAAAAGAAAUUGAAUUUCGCAUUUUGGUAAACACAAAAGUGAAGGUGAACUUGCGCAUCAAAUGCGUAUACUCGUUUGAACACGACGCGUGAGAUGUAUAUAAAAUUUACUCGGGAAAGUAUUUAUUACCAAUACAAGAUCAUGAGUACUCAGGAAAUUUAUUUAUUUAUACCUAAAGAGCUUCGGGCGAAUUUUCAUGUCGGAGAACGAAAUCAUGAUAACUCUAUAACGACAAUUGACGAACUGUGUAUACGCCGAGAGUACGGAAUCCGAGCGGAGGAUAAAAACGGAAUACGGAAUAGUAAUACCGGUGACACUGACGCAAUAUCGGGCGAACGUUCGAAUCAAUCAAUAACGAGUAACAAUAAAAACGAGGAAAAAAUGCCACCUGGAAUAUCGUGGUAAAUCGCAGCACGAUAAAAUUAUGCAAAAGACUCAACCUCUUCAUUUAUUCUCGAUGAAAAUAAAAUUCCACCAUGACCGAAGAUUUACUUUGGAAUGAAUGCGCAAUACGAAUAAAUAAUAUUGAAACGUGUGUGCGUGUACGUGUCUCGUGUGUUUAUAAAUAAAACGAAAGAUGGAAUCGACUGACGAAUAUAUUGAGCUUUCAUAGGCUCAAAACGAAUAGCCCAACCGUUUGCAUUUCUUGUUUUAGUUUUUGUAUAAAUAUAUUUUAUAGUGUAUACCCGAGAAAUAAAUUGUAUUUCGGGAGUGGA
This is a long non-coding RNA of Venturia canescens, 2169 nucleotides long. RefSeq lists it as uncharacterized. Lineage: Eukaryota; Metazoa; Arthropoda; Insecta; Hymenoptera; Ichneumonidae. The record is from RefSeq and is a predicted model, not a curated record. The transcript is spliced from 3 exons.